This 615-nucleotide ribosomal RNA is filed under the name uncultured bacterium. RNAcentral describes it as "bacterial SSU rRNA". It matches the Rfam family "Bacterial small subunit ribosomal RNA", at positions 67 to 728 of the family's 1533-position model. The record is from RNAcentral.
CGGGCUCUUCGGAGCUAGUGGCAGACGGGUGAGUAACGCGUGGGAACCUACCUAUAAGUACGGAACAACACAGAGAAAUUUGUGCUAAUACCGUAUGUGCCCUUUGGGGUAAAGAUUUAUCGCUUAUAGAUGGGCCCGCGUUAGAUUAGCUAGUUGGUGAGGUAAUGGCUCACCAAGGCGACGAUCUAUAGCUGGUCUGAGAGGAUGAUCAGCCACACUGGGACUGAGACACGGCCCAGACUCCUACGGGAGGCAGCAGUGAGGAAUAUUGGACAAUGGGGGCAACCCUGAUCCAGCCAUGCCGCGUGAGUGAUGACGGCCUUAGGGUUGUAAAGCUCUUUCGCUAGGGAAGAUAAUGACGGUACCUAGUAAAGAAGCCCCGGCUAACUUCGUGCCAGCAGCCGCGGUAAUACGAAGGGGGCUAGCGUUGUUCGGAAUCACUGGGCGUAAAGCGCGCGUAGGCGGACUUUUAAGUCAGGGGUGAAAUCCCGGGGCUCAACCUCGGAACUGCCUUUGAUACUGGAAGUCUUGAGUUCGAGAGAGGUGAGUGGAAUACCGAGUGUAGAGGUGAAAUUCGUAGAUAUUCGGUGGAACACCAGUGGCGAAGGCGGCUCA